CUGGUCUUCCCUUUCUCACAUUUCUCUUCUCUUCGCUAAAUUAAACUUGGCUAUUUCUUCAGUUACGCACAGCGCUUUCUAUUUUCAAUUUCAACUCACUGUCUAUUCCAUUAUGAAUGAAGCAGCAUCAGUUUAGAGCAAGUGCAAUAAUAUAGACUCAAGUAUCUUCUUAAUUUACCAUGGAAACCAAACUAUGAACGUCACGAAAAGUGAUCACAACACUUGUUUCUGCGCGCUGAAGCGCAUUUUUCACACGAUCAACUCUGUUGCCUUCGCAAUACCUGGACGAUAAACUUCAGAGAUUUGAGUCCCAUUAUUGGGCUGGGAUAUCUUUUUAUUGUAUUCGUACAUUUUGUUCAAAUUGUUGCUUGGUAAUCAGAAUAUCAUUACUGCCGAUUAUUGUUACUGCCCCUAUUUAGUUUGUUAAUGUAUUAGGAGACACCUGUUUUGAAAUAGUGCGUCGACUGCAAGAUGACAGCUUCGAAACCGGAUGGAAAAGAUGCUCAGGAAGCUUCCGGAGGUCUUCAGCGCAAACUCAGUACCAAAGGAGAAGGCUUGUACAGGAUGUUGAAUGUGGAGAAAGGUGCUUCCAAUGAAGAGAUCAAAAAGAGCUACAGAAAAAUGGCGCUCAAAUAUCACCCAGACAAGAACCAUGACAACCCUGAAGCUGCAGAAACGUUCAAGGAGAUUAACCGUGCACACUCGGUGCUGACAGAUGAGCAGAAGCGGGAGAUAUAUGACAAGUAUGGCAGCAGGGGACUCCACCUCAUGGACCAAAUGGGACCCGAGGCAGCCAAAGUGUACUUCGCUCUCAACAAUCCUGUCUCAAAGGCCAUCUUCAUUUUCUGCUCGAUUGUGACUGGAUGCUGGUGCUGCUGCUGUUGUUGCUGUUGCUGCAACUGCUGCUGUGGCAAGUGUAAGCCAGAAAUGCCUGACGAGGACAACCCCUUCAUGAGUAGCAGUGAUCCUGAAGAUGGUAGCAGUGAUAAGGAGAAGGAGAAGACGAAGAGUGAAGCGAGUAGUAAGAAUGUAGUCACUAGUCAGCCCUCCACAAAUGCGCUCCCAAUAAUUGUGAUAGUUGGAGCAUCGCGAAGAAAUUCCGAAAACCCAGAAGAAGAAGGCAGUGGUGAUACUUUGCAAAAUUCAGACAGCAAACAAGUCACCACCAACUCGGAAAUUUCCUCGCCGUCGGAAAAAGUUGAAGAAAACGGCGGACCUGGCAAAAACGUUGCAUCAGAGCCAAACAAAAAUACGGAAAAAGACAAGAAAGUUAAAGAUGAUACAGAAAUAGAGUCGAGCGCUUAGAAACAGAGUUUUGCGCUUUCUUGAAUUAUGAACGUAGUUGCGCAGUGGAAAGAAAAGACGCCUCUGUCGGCAGAUGCGAACUACUAUGGGAGUGGGAAUGAAGAAUAGACGCUCAAAUGUCAUCUAAGAGUCAAUGGUAUGUGUCCUCAAAUCGGCACUGGAAUAGAACAAAAUGAAAGAAGAGCAAUUAGUUCAUCUACACAGGUGAAAUCUUCACUUGAAUGGGAAAUUAAAGAAUCUGCUCAGUUUCGUGGAAAAGACUUUCGUUUCAUUCGUGCAGAUAAUUCGAUCUUUGUUCGCCAUAGACUUCAGCAGCCCAUCUGUGAAUCAAGUUUAUUUCCUGAUGUUUCAAGAGCCUCUUUAAUAAAAAUGCCCUUCUUUCGAAGUUUUUAAGGAGCGACUCGUUCAAUUUUUUGAACGAAUGUUAUUCUUAAAGCGGCGAUGUACAACUUUUGAAAACUUGAAAUUUUGAAGUGAAAAUAGAAAUAGCAGGGCAUAGCUGCAUAGUGAAAUAACAUUAAGGUUGUCAAGCCAGCGAAAGUAAAUUUUCGAAUAGCAAAUUGAAGUGAAAAGGUGCUACAAAAUGAUCAAAAUUGUAAAUGUUUCAGUAUCGAUUAUUCAUGUAAAGGUUUCUCUACAUUCCAGGAAAGGGUGGUUUCAGGGUUUUAAAACGUGUUUUUUUUUAUUUGCAUAGUCUUAUAAUUCGUCCCUGAAGCCAUCUAUAAUCAAAUUGUUUUUAUAUCAUUUGAUAUAUCGAUGCAGGUAUAUAUAUUGUUUGUAUAUGUUGGCAACUGGUAUACUUUUCGCCUGUGUUUCGGGAUCUGUUGUUGUUCAGUUUCUUAAGUUUCACUUUAUCUUUAGUUUAUUAUUUGAUCACUCGAAUGAAUUAUUUUUUCUCAAUUAGUUAGACAUAAAGUUUAAUGGAGCUAUGAAAUAUUAGAAAGAUGGAAAAUACUAUAAACAGUUUGAACAAAUUUUAUUUUCCCCUGCUUUAUGAAUGCAAUUAUUGUUUUCCUGUAAUAAAAAUGAGAUAAAUCUCA
Molecule: RNA transcript, 2345 nt
Organism: Symsagittifera roscoffensis
Lineage: Eukaryota; Metazoa; Xenacoelomorpha; Acoela; Convolutidae
Gene name: dnaJ homolog subfamily C member 5-like
Exons: 9
Source: RefSeq, a predicted model, not a curated record